AUAAAAUGAUGAUAACCUCAUGCGCUUCAUUUGAAUGCAGCUGAUGUUUUCUGGCUUUUACCAGUUGUAGGUGUUUUGCUUACAGGUGGUAGGGUUAGAAAACUAGGCUGUAUACAUGAUACAUGAUUGCAUCUGAUUAC
This is a non-coding RNA of Strongylocentrotus purpuratus (purple sea urchin), 140 nucleotides long. Lineage: Eukaryota; Metazoa; Echinodermata; Echinoidea; Camarodonta; Strongylocentrotidae. The record is from Rfam.